GAUCUUGUUGUGCUCGACCUUGUCUCUACCAUCAGCUCUCUGCAACGACCACCAUGUUCAACUCCACCAACAUAACCAGUACCACUACCAAGUCAAUGAAGGGUACCCCGUACUGGAUGGAUCCAAAAGACAUUCUCCAAACUAGGCAUAGCUUUUCUUCCGAUAUUUGGAGUUUUGGAUGUACUAUGAUUGAGAUGGGUACUGGAACCUUGGAGUCAACAGUUCUAAGAGCACAUGCUUAAGAUGGAGCAGGAAGAGUACAGCUAGGAAAAAAUUAACUGGAGCAUUGAGUUCAUUGACAAAUUGGUUUAGUACAUCCUUCCUGUCCAUUGUGCCAAGUGCAGAAAAAGAAUGAGGUUUGCUAUUCAUGAAUCCAUGAUGUAAUACCUUGUUCAGAAUGGAAUUUCCUUGUGUAAAUUCAAACUAAGUUCAUAAUUUUGUAAAAUGUUGCAAGGAUGAAUGAUGUUGUAAGGAUGAGUGAUUUUCUUAUCAGGUCAGGGUUUCAGAUUAUUUGUAAUACUGGAAUUUCGUAAUAUGUAAUUUUUUUUAA
Long non-coding RNA from Papaver somniferum (opium poppy), 550 nucleotides. RefSeq lists it as uncharacterized. The transcript is spliced from 3 exons. Lineage: Eukaryota; Viridiplantae; Streptophyta; Magnoliopsida; Ranunculales; Papaveraceae. The record is from RefSeq and is a predicted model, not a curated record.